RNAcentral lists this long non-coding RNA (771 nucleotides) under Cercocebus atys (sooty mangabey). Its description in RNAcentral is "lncRNA (ENSCATG00000045618.1)". The record is from RNAcentral. Lineage: Eukaryota; Metazoa; Chordata; Mammalia; Primates; Cercopithecidae.
CCUCAUCUUGCUUACCUCUCCAUGAAAGGUCAAAAGUGCCUCCUACUGUGAUAUGUCUGAAAUCCCUGAAAGAUUGAUUAAAUUUCUAUAUAGUAUGGAACUGCUGAAUCUAGUGAACCAUAACUUAUGUAAUUUGUAUUAUACUUUAUCAGUCACCUUUUAAAAAGUGUUUAACAGUGAAACUUUCCCUUGUGAGCAAUGGAAACCUGAGAAAUACUUGCUUUCUUUAUGAUAACCUUAGCAGUUUGUUUGGUUCAUUAAGUCAAGGUUGUUGUGGAUUUCUUAAAGGUAUUCAACUAUAAAAACUGACUUAAUUUUGGCAUUUAAAUUUUAGAAUGAAAAGUCAGAGAAUAAAGAAGAUCUUAUAUUGCAUGAGAAGCAUAAUCUCUUCAUAUAUUAUGAAAGAGUGGCAAAGAGAUGUCCUUGGCGUGUACACCCUGUGGAAUCUGGUUCAUCUCCAAUCUGUCAGAAGGCAUCAGAGGUGGUUUUGACUCCUUAUGUCUUGGACCUGUGUACAAAAAGUACGGGCAGGAGAGGAUGCAGGAGACUGUACAAAGUUCAAGAAACGAUAUGCUUUAAUCAAGAGGAAGAAGACUGAGAAUCUUUCUGCCAUGAUAUUUCUCAAAGUGUGCCAAAUGGAUUACUACCUGCUUUAUUCAUCUAUAAGAGGACUCUAUUCUGAUAACUUUGGCAUAGUUCUAUAAAAAGGAAAACUACCUGUUUAGACUUGCUUGGAAGUUGUCUAGUAAUUACCAAUUCAAAUGUAAUGGG